GUAUGCUUUACACAUGCAAGUCGUACGAGAGUUUUUAACUCAAGUGGCGGACGGGUGAGUAACACGUAGGAAUUUGCCUUUAGGAGGGGGACAACAACUGGAAACGGUUGCUAAUACCCCAUGUGCUUUCGAGUGAAAUGGAUUUAUCCGCCUAGAGAGAAGCUUGCGGCUGAUUAGCUUGUUGGUGAGGUAAUGGCUUACCAAGGCGACGAUCAGUAUCUGGUUUGAGAGGACGAUCAGACACACUGGAACUGAGACACGGUCCAUACUCCUACGGGAGGCAGCAGUGGGGAAUUUUACGCAAUGGGGGAAACCCUGACGUAGCAACACCGCGUGAGCGACGAAGCCUUUAGGGGUGUAAAGCUCUGUCGGAUGGAACGAAAAAAAUGACGGUACCAUCAGAGGAAGCAUCGGCUAACUACGUGCCAGCAGCCGCGGUAAGACGUAGGAUGCAAGCGUUGUCCGGAUUUAUUGGGCGUAAAGAGUUCGUAGGCGGUUUAUUAAGUUUGAUGUUAAAUACUGAGGCUCAACCUCAGAACUGCAUUGAAUACUGGUAGACUUGGGUACAGUAGAGGUAAGUGGAAUUCCCAGUGUAGCGGUGAAAUGCGUAGAUAUUGGGAAGAACACCAGUGGCGAAAGCGACUUACUGGGCUGUAACUGACGCUGAGGAACGAAAGCCAGGGGAGCAAAUGGGAUUAGAUACCCCAGUAGUCCUGGCCGUAAACGAUGGAUACUAGGCGUAGCGGGUAUCAACCCCUGCUGUGUCGUAGCUAACGCGAUAAGUAUCCCGCCUGAGUAGUACGGCCGCA
RNAcentral lists this ribosomal RNA (809 nucleotides) under uncultured bacterium. Its description in RNAcentral is "bacterial SSU rRNA". It matches the Rfam family "Bacterial small subunit ribosomal RNA", at positions 42 to 890 of the family's 1533-position model. The record is from RNAcentral.